RNAcentral lists this long non-coding RNA (561 nucleotides) under Homo sapiens (human). RNAcentral describes it as "HSALNT0199239". Lineage: Eukaryota; Metazoa; Chordata; Mammalia; Primates; Hominidae. The record is from RNAcentral.
AUCACCGUCUUCUGCGUCGCUCACGCUGGGAGCUGUAGACCGGAGCUCGAGAACUACUUUUUAAUUAGGGCUUGGGAUUAGCCAUUGCCAUAGAAUGGAGUGAAUAACAGAGAAGAGAAACUGUGACUAAUUUAAGAGUGAUAAUCAUACAAUUGCAAUUUGGAGAAGAUUGACCUGAAAGAACUGCAGAGGAAGCAUGCUCUUUGUGAAGAAGAAGGGAGCAGAGAUGAAGUCUUCCUCUCCUACUGCCUCUGGGCAGAGGUGAAGAACUUUUGAAGGCAUGCACCAUGGGGUUAUGAGACCCACUCAGCUAGACAUAUGUUUUGGAAGAUAUGUGUGUUACAGCAGCUUCUUAGGUAACUAACUAGUAGCGAAAGCCUUGCACUUUGGGGACUAUUUUGUUCUUAUAUGUAUCUGUUCAACCACAAACAGGCAUAACUUGAUUCUCUAAAAAAGUGGACAUUUGAGGUUCUAAACUAGGGAGAGCCAGUCGAGGUGGCAGGCGUCUGUAGUCCUAGCUAAUUGGGAGACCAAGGUGAGAGGAUCACUUGAGUCUAGGAG